Molecule: long non-coding RNA, 3510 nt
Organism: Mus musculus (house mouse)
Lineage: Eukaryota; Metazoa; Chordata; Mammalia; Rodentia; Muridae
Product: predicted gene, 39913
Exons: 2
Source: RefSeq, a predicted model, not a curated record
AGGCGGCAGCCAGCCCUGGCUCCUGUGCUGGCUACCUCCCGUACUUGUUUCCUAAGUGUCUUUCUUGCAUACAAGAAAGUAUAGUAGUAUCUCGUGUUAAGAUUUUAAUCUUGAACGGCACAAGACUAUCUUUGUGGGAAAGCAAGUACUCCAACGCAGAUGCCUAAUGUGGAGGGAUAAACUGUCCAAACAGAUCUGGAGGUGUGAAGGUCUGUUAAAGAAUCUUUUGUUCUAGAGUCCCCACUGACUGAAAACAGCAAAAUUUGCUUUGUUAUGUAAUAGGUUUUGGUUCCUCCUUAAGCGAAAGAGGUUGCCCAGGAUUCUCUGCCCUCGGAUUCUGUAAGAACGUUUUCUUAUUGGGGUGACAGGGCAGGAAGAGAAGAAUGGUGUUUGGGGUUCCCUGAAAAAAAUCACUUGAGUGAAGAUUCUGCAAACUAAUUAGAACUUUGUGAUUGUGGGUGUUGGGCUGUUGCAGAUUCACAGCCAAAAUUAUAUUUGAGUAUCUUUAGUUCCUUUAAGUAGCCGUUUAUCUCCAACCCACCUAACUGACCCAGUAUUCUUGACCAUCAGGUAGGAAAUUUUAUUUUAAAUUAGUUCACUAAUCAGAGACAGGAUCUCUAUGUAGCCCUGGCUGUCCUGGAACUUUUUGACUUUGAACUCAAAAGAGAUCUGCCUGCCUCUCUCUUACGAGUGCUUCCACUACAAGUGGAUAACACCCACCUGGAAUUUAUUCAUUUAGCAGACUACUAACUUGUACAAACCAAGAACAUCUUGUAUGUCAUCUAAGUAUGUCAUCAGAUAAUAUCAGAGAUUUCCCUGGAGUAACUCACCGACCAGUGUUGGCACAAGGUCUUUGAAGCUAAGAGGUCAUUGGAUCCCCGGAACUGGUGUGACAGAUGCUGGAGGUAAACACUGGUCUUCUGAAAGAGGUCUCUUCACUGCCGUGUCAUCUCCAGCCCUGCUGAGCAGGAUCUUGAACUCUCAGUCCUCCUGCCUCCAGCUCCUGGGAUUGAUUAGCGGCAGGCAUGAUCUCACUACUAAGCCUGAUUUUAUGCAAUGUUUGGGAUUGAACCUGGGGCUUCAUGUAUGUUAUUAAGAAUUUUACCAACUAAACUACAUCCCUAGCCUGGCCUCCUGCAUCUUUCCUUUUUUCAUCAGAGGUUUCAUUUGGGUUUAUAAGGGAAAACGGUGUGUGGGUUGCUGGGGAUCGAUUCCAGGGCCUUGUGCAUACUGAACACAUACUUUACCAGUGAAUACUUUCAUCUCUCCCACCCCUCAAGCCCUGAAAGUCCAUGAGAAGUCUUUUGAAGUGUCAUUUUAAAGAUGGUUUAAUCUGAGUGUAAGCGCCAAAGUGAUAUACACACAGGGGAAGGCAGUGGGCAUGCUCAGUCAGGACUGUGGCUGGAGGCAAAGCUGGAAAAACCCAGUGGGAAAGCCUGGGCUAUAAGGCGGCAGAGUACUGGGCUACAAGUGCUGUAGCUGGCGGGUAGCAGGUCUCAGUAAAGCACGUCCCUUGCAGCUUUACCCUGUGUUGACGCCAGGUUGAUUUACUUAUGAGGGAUGAUAGUUGGGGCCAGUGUGAUUCCUGCACAUUCACAGAUCUCUGGCUGGAAGAAUGGAAAGCAGAAAACCUUCUAGGAGUUUGUUUUGACCAACCUACUCUGCCCUCUAUGUUCUGUGACAGAGAUAAGACACCAAUGGAUAUGUGUAACUUCUAAAACCAGUGCAGUGGAAAAGCAGAGUCAGUUAAGCUUAAGAGAAAUAAUGCCUGUGUGUUCUUACAGGUUUGGUGAGUCCCUUUCCACAUGGUCUAAGUCACAUGUUGACUGGUUGGAUUCAUCCCAUUUUAUGCAAAAUAGAAUUGGAUUUGGAUAUAUAUCACAAAAUUUAAAAUGUGAGAUACAUGAAAAUAUCAAAGUGAGGUCAUUAUUUUGUAUGUUAAUUGAAGAAUAAGAGUGAGACCAGGUAUGGUGCUGCACACCUUUAAUCCCAGGCAGAGGCAGGAGGAUCUUUGAGUUUGAGGCCAGCCUGUAUGAGCAGAGCUAAAUGCUGGCAGCAUCUUAGUAUUGUUAUGUCUGUGACCCAUCACCUGUCUCCUAUUUUGUAAUUCUUCCUCACAUGCCUAAGGCAAUCUAGAAUUGUAUCUAACUGGUUCUAAUAAAGAGCUGACAGGCAAUAGCUGGGCAAGAAGUGGAAGGCAGAUCUGGGCAGAGAGAGGGAUGCUGAGGGAAUAUUUAUACUCUUUAUGACAUAAUCAACAAUAUGAGAUUGUUUAGCAAUUUUAGCCCUUUAAAGUUGGCACAGGUAGUGUGUGUGUGUGUGUAUACAAAGGCAUGGAAGGCAGGUUAAAAUCUUUUGCAACCCAGAAGUCAUUGUUCAGUAUACGUUUUGAUAGAUAUAUAAGAAUGGACUAUGACACAUAAGACAGCUCCAUGAUGGUGGGACACCUGCUCCCGUGUGGAUCCUAUAGCUAGUGUCCUUCAGUCCACUGCGUGCAUGGACAGCAGCAGCGCAGUGCACUCCAUGAGACUGUGAACUCCCUCAUAUGACUUCUGCUAGGACUUCAUCUUCGAAGAAUCACACGUCAAAGGAGCAGAUGUGGAUCACACAGGAAGCCAGAAUGCAGUGUUCUAUAGGACUCUUCCUGGAGUCCCAUUCUGUGUAUGGUGAACCUAUAUAAAGUAGGUAUGCUUCACCUGCUGUGCGAUGGUCUUUAGUUGUACCUUAUAAACCUUAUAAACCAUUUUAUACAUUUGAAAAAGUAAAGAAAGAAAGAAAAAGUUAAGUAUGGGACAUUACUCAGCUUCGUUGGGGAUCGGGACUCUGGUCAGUCUUAGUGAUUUUGAAGGAGACAUUAGGCAAGUUUGGUAAAGAAAACAGAAAGCUCAAAAGCAAUGGGAAUGGCCAAAGCAAAGGCUGCUGUGUUUCAGCUAAGGGGGAGAACAUGGCUGCAUUUUGGUGAUCCCAAUGGGGAGGGCCUGUUGCACCAGGCUCUAGGUUGGCUCUGACAGACAAGCUGCAGACAUACAGACAGAACACAGGCAUCUGGCCACCAACACGGUGAAUAGAGCAUGGCACACACAGCUACGAAUGUGGAAGAACUGACAAUCCUGGAAGGCAGGAGGCCUUGUCACAGGCACGGAGCGGAUGGAGGGAAAGGCAGUCACAGUACCUUGGACUUAUGCCAGUAUGCUCAACUCACAGAUCCAGACCAAACACCGCUUAAUCCUACCUCCUCCUCCUCCUCAUGUUGAGGCCUGUUCCUUUUAACACAACUGUAGCCAUUUGUAUUCAGGCUCAAUGUUAGUCACAAGGUGAAAUUAAGGUCAUAGUGAUUAGUGUAACUGACACUGAAAAAUGCUACUAACAAGCAAAAACAACGUGAUUAAAUCACUUGUUCCUAGUUAUCUCAGUGUUCUGAAAUUCCCUUGUUCACCGCCUGACCACCAUCUUUCUUACCUCACUCAGGACCAAUUGGCUUAAAGGUUGGCUAACAAUACUUUACCUAGU